UACGGGGGGGGCAAGCGUUGUUCGGAAUUACUGGGCGUAAAGGGCUCGUAGGUGGCCAACUAAGUCAUACGUGAAAUCCCUCGGCUUAACCGGGGAACUGCGUCUGAUACUGGAUGGCUUGAGAUUGGGAGAGGGAUGCGGAAUUCCAGGUGUAGCGGUGAAAUGCGUAGAUAUCUGGAGGAACACCGGUGGCGAAGGCGGCAUCCUGGACCAACACUGACACUGAGGAGCGAAAGCGUGGGGAGCGAACAGG
Molecule: ribosomal RNA, 253 nt
Filed under: uncultured bacterium
Lineage: Bacteria
Description: partial 16S ribosomal RNA
Rfam family: Bacterial small subunit ribosomal RNA
Source: RNAcentral